CCUACGGGAGGCAGCAGUGAGGAAUAUUGGUCAAUGGACGAGAGUCUGAACCAGCCAAGUAGCGUGAAGGAUGACUGCCCUAUGGGUUGUAAACUUCUUUUAUAUGGGAAUAAAAUGUUCCACGUGUGGGAUUUUGUAUGUACCAUAUGAAUAAGGAUCGGCUAACGCCGUGCCAGCAGCCGCGGUAAUACGGAGGAACCGAGCGUUAUCCGGAUUUAUUGGGUUUAAAGGGAGCGUAGGUGGAUUGUUAAGUCAGUUGUGAAAGUUUGCGGCUCAACCGUAAAAUUGCAGUUGAAACUGGCAGUCUUGAGUACAGUAGAGGUGGGCGGAAUUCGUGGUGUAGCGGUGAAAUGCUUAGAUAUCACGAAGAACUCCGAUUGCGAAGGCAGUUCACUGGACUGCAACUGACACUGAGGCUCGAAAGUGUGGGUAUCAAACAGGAUUAGAUACCCCAGUAGUC
This 460-nucleotide ribosomal RNA is filed under the name uncultured bacterium. RNAcentral describes it as "partial 16S ribosomal RNA". It matches the Rfam family "Bacterial small subunit ribosomal RNA", at positions 338 to 795 of the family's 1533-position model. The record is from RNAcentral.